Molecule: long non-coding RNA, 199 nt
Filed under: Setaria italica (foxtail millet)
Lineage: Eukaryota; Viridiplantae; Streptophyta; Magnoliopsida; Poales; Poaceae
Description: long non-coding RNA (SITA_LNC000191)
Source: RNAcentral
UUGAACUUGUUGAGUACUUUUGUACUCACCCUUGUGUUGUUGCUUCAGAGGAGGAUCCGGACUUCUUCACCGAGGACUUCGAGUAGGAGGUUGCGUCUGCACCCAACGCUGUCUGCGGUGUUGGCCCUUUUGCAGGAUGCUUCCGCUGACGCUUAGUUCCGAUUGCAGCCCGGAGUCCGACUGGAAUGCAACUUGGAUU